AACGAACGCUGGCGGCAGGCCUAACACAUGCAAGUCGAGCGCACCUUCGGGUGAGCGGCGGACGGGUUAGUAACGCGUGGGAAUAUACCCAAAGGUACGGAAUAGCCUCUGGAAACGGAGAGUAAUACCGUAUGUGCCCUUCGGGGGAAAGAUUUAUCGCCUUUGGAUUAGCCCGCGUUGGAUUAGGUAGUUGGUGGGGUAAUGGCCUACCAAGCCUACGAUCCAUAGCUGGUUUGAGAGGAUGAUCAGCAACACUGGGACUGAGACACGGCCCAGACUCCUACGGGAGGCAGCAGUGGGGAAUCUUAGACAAUGGGCGCAAGCCUGAUCUAGCCAUGCCGCGUGAGUGACGAAGGCCUUAGGGUCGUAAAGCUCUUUCGCCAGAGAUGAUAAUGACAGUAUCUGGUAAAGAAACCCCGCUAACU
Molecule: ribosomal RNA, 425 nt
Filed under: uncultured bacterium
Lineage: Bacteria
Description: bacterial SSU rRNA
Rfam family: Bacterial small subunit ribosomal RNA
Source: RNAcentral